Molecule: ribosomal RNA, 253 nt
Filed under: uncultured bacterium
Lineage: Bacteria
Description: partial 16S ribosomal RNA
Rfam family: Bacterial small subunit ribosomal RNA
Source: RNAcentral
UACAGAGGUCUCAAGCGUUGUUCGGAUUCAUUGGGCGUAAAGGGCGCGUCGGCGGGCUCGCAAGUCCGGGGUGAAAGCCCCCAGCUCAACUGGGGAAGCGCCUUGGAUACUGCGGGCCUCGAGGGGGGUAGGGGCGCGCGGAACUUCCGGUGGAGCGGUGAAAUGCGUAGAUAUCGGAAGGAACACCGGUGGCGAAAGCGGCGCGCUGGACCCCUUCUGACGCUGAGGCGCGAAAGCCAGGGGAGCAAACGGG